AUCUAUGAGUGAUGCUUGCAUCAUUUAAAAAAUAAGCAUGUAUCAAAAAACAUGUUAGAACAGUAUUUUCAAUAACUGGACUCGACCCCAAGAACUAAAAUAGAAAAGUGAUGUGAUAUCCGUAAAUGAAACCAGUAAAUUUAGCCAAGGGCCAGAGGUUUCGGUGCAGAGUACUCCUAAAGGCUUUCUGGCAAAAAGUUUGCCCUGGUCCUAAACAGGCAGCAUCUCCUAUUUAAAAGUUUCACUUCUCCCCGCCACAUCCGCGGAUAAACCUAUUGGCGCACGAGUUCUUCCUUUCAGCAACAAACUCUUCGGUUCAUGAUAAACUAAGUUGCAGAAGCUAUCUGAUUGGCUAAGAAAUAAUGACGUAAGAUUUCUUAAGCCCACUGAGAAUCGUCCUCCCCAAGCCUGGCUCAGAUUCCGCUUUCCGAUUGGUUCUUACGGCAAGAAGGCGGGGACAAUUGCUGAAGUUGACCUCUGGGUCGGGAACGCCAGCAAACAUGGCGGCGGCCAGGUGCUGGAGGCUUGUGCUCCGUGGUCCAGGGCUGUCACUGCACACCGCGGCCGGGGCCGCCGUCACGGCUCCCGAAGUGACCGGCCCAGAUGUCGCGGCGGCCCCAGUCGCGCGCUACCCGCCGCUCGUAGCCUCUCUGACUGCCGACAGCAAGGCGGCACGGCAGCGGCGAGUGGAGCGAUGGCAGGCCACGGUGCACGCGGCCAAGUCGGUGGACGAGAAGCUGCGAAUCCUCACCAAGAUGCAGUUCAUGAAGUACGUAGUUUACCCGCAGACCUUCGCCCUGAACGCCGACCGCUGGUACCAGAGCUUUACCAAGACCGUGUUCCUGUCGGGCCUGCCGCCGCCGCCGCCGCCUGCCAAGCCCGAUACCGAGCCCGCGCCGGCUCUGGACGUAGCGGCCCUGCGCGCCGCCGCCUGUGACUGCCUCCUGCAGGAGCACUUCUUUCUGCGGCGCAAGAAGCGUGUGCCGCUCUACCUGGAACGUGAGGCCAUCGCUUCGCCUUUCUUGGACCAGCUGGUUGCCUCCCUCACGGGCCUGCUCAGCGCUCGCAAUCCAGCCCUGGCUGCCGCCGCCCUCGAUUGUAAACGCCCAGUUCACUUUUACUGGUUGCGUGGUGAAGAAAUUAUUCCUCGUGGUCAUCGGAAAGGUCGAGUUGAUGCUUUGAGAUACCAAAUAAAUGAUAAACCACACAACCAGAUUCGAAUAUCCAAACAACUACCCGAGUUUGUGCCGCUGGAUUAUUCUGUACCUGUAGAAGUCCCUGUUAUGAAUUGUAAGCCAGACAAACUUCCAUUAUUCAAACGGCAGUAUGAAAAUACCAUAUUUAUUGGGACAAAGACAGCAGAUCCACACUGUUAUGGACAUACCCAGUUUCAUCUGCUACCUGACAAAUUAAAAAGGGAAAGGCUCUUGAAACAAAACUGUGCCAAUCAGAUAGAAGUUGUUUUUAGAGCUAAUGCUAUUGCAAGCCUUUUUGCUUGGACCGGAGCACAGGCUAUGUAUCAAGGAUUCUGGAGUGAAGCAGACGUUACUCGACCUUUUGUCUCCCAGGGUGUGAUCACAGAUGGAAAAUACUUCUCCUUUUUCUGCUACCAGUUAAACACUUUGGCGCUGACUGCACAAGCUGAUCAAAAUAACCCUCGUAAAAAUAUAUGUUGGGGGACACAAACAACUAUAUACGCCAUGAAAUGGAUGGAAAAGAGAAGCAAUAAAAAUCCCAGGGUAAGAAGCAAGUCAUCUGAAAAUGAGAUGCCUGAUGUUGAAUAUUGUCAUGUGAGGAAUAGAGUAAAUUCCAGCAAAAAGAAUACUGGAAACCAAUUCUGUCCCUCACCCGCUCUGCAAUCUCUCCACGAAAGGACCAGUCUGGGACACGAUGUCGAUGAAAGGUACACCUAUGGAUUAGAGAGUGCUAAUGACGGCAUUCUACUGAAGAAUCUUCCACUUCAGGCCUAGUGAAUGAGCAGAAUUCCAUGUCUAGUCACCAGCUUUGUAUUGAGAAGGAGUUAGUUAACAGUGGUGGUGCAGCAGCUUCUCAAUCCUGGUUUCUUGAUCGUCAAUGUGCUACCGAGAAGUGUGGUUCUUGAACCUAAAACUUCCUUUGGCAUCCUUCAGGUUCCUAACCCUUCUGGAGUGCGGUUGAGCUAUUGCCAGCCAAUGAAAGAACAUUUCUUCUGCUCUUGUCCUGCCCAAUCAAGGUACUUUAGGGCUACAGAACAUCUCUCCACCCCUAAAAAAUAAAGAAAAGAGAAGAAAAAUAUAACCACAAGGAGGCUUACUGAUUAUAUUGUCUGGACUUGGU
Balaenoptera musculus (blue whale) is the source of this 2316-nucleotide RNA transcript. It is a transcript of the gene named mitochondrial ribosomal protein S30, with no coding region annotated. The transcript has 12 exons. NCBI's taxonomy places the organism in Eukaryota, Metazoa, Chordata, Mammalia, Artiodactyla, Balaenopteridae. The record is from RefSeq and is a predicted model, not a curated record.